Non-coding RNA from Pelobates cultripes (western spadefoot toad), 260 nucleotides. The record is from the annotation of a GenBank genome assembly. Lineage: Eukaryota; Metazoa; Chordata; Amphibia; Anura; Pelobatidae.
GGUGUGUUUAGUACUAUUGGUAUCAGUUUAAUCACUGUUACGCCCCCUAUCCGUUGAUGUGGAGCAAGACGCAGCAGCAGAAGAGGACUAAGCCGAGGAGGUUAUGGAAGAGGAUGGAGUAGAAGGAGUAGAGGAGGUGGCAGCGUACUGACAGAGUACACGCUGUAGGGCUGACACACCUGCUUGAAGAUAACUAACUGCUAUUCAAUCUAUAACAGUGAAAAAAAAAAUGUUUUUUUUAAAUCCAAGCUAUUGUGACA